Molecule: ribosomal RNA, 351 nt
Filed under: uncultured Thiovirga sp.
Lineage: Bacteria; Pseudomonadati; Pseudomonadota; Gammaproteobacteria; Chromatiales; Halothiobacillaceae
Description: bacterial SSU rRNA
Rfam family: Bacterial small subunit ribosomal RNA
Source: RNAcentral
ACACACAGGUGCUGCACGGCUGUCGUCAGCUCGUGUCGUGAGAUGUUGGGUUAAGUCCCGGCAACGAGCGCAACCCUUGCCCUUAGUUACCAUCAUUUAGUUGGGACUCUAAGGGGACUGCCGGUGAUAAACCGGAGGAAGGUGGGGACGACGUCAAGUCAUCAUGGCCCUUAUGACCGGGGCUACACACGUACUACAAUGGUCGGUACAGACGGUCGCAAGCUCGCGAGAGUAAGCUAAUCCGAGAAAACCGAUCGUAGUCCGGAUCGCAGUCUGCAACUCGACUGCGUGAAGUCGGAAUCGCUAGUAAUCGCAAAUCAGAAUGUUGCGGUGAAUACGUUCCCGGGCCUU